This 301-nucleotide ribosomal RNA is filed under the name uncultured bacterium. RNAcentral describes it as "partial 16S ribosomal RNA". It matches the Rfam family "Bacterial small subunit ribosomal RNA", at positions 509 to 807 of the family's 1533-position model. The record is from RNAcentral.
CAGUAGCCGCGGUAAUACAGAGGGUGCGAGCGUUAAUCGGAAUUACUGGGCGUAAAGCGCACGUAGGCGGAUAUUUAAGUCAGGGGUGAAAUCCCGCAGCUCAACUGCGGAACUGCCUUUGAUACUGGGUAUCUUGAGUAUGGAAGAGGUUAGUGGAAUUGCGAGUGUAGAGGUGAAAUUCGUAGAUAUUCGCAGGAACACCAGUGGCGAAGGCGGCUAACUGGUCCAUAACUGACGCUGAGGUGCGAAAGCGUGGGGAGCAAACAGGAUUAGAUACCCCCGUAGUCCCUGUCUCUUAUAC